RNAcentral lists this ribosomal RNA (497 nucleotides) under uncultured Coxiella sp. RNAcentral describes it as "bacterial SSU rRNA". It matches the Rfam family "Bacterial small subunit ribosomal RNA", at positions 8 to 493 of the family's 1533-position model. The record is from RNAcentral. Lineage: Bacteria; Pseudomonadati; Pseudomonadota; Gammaproteobacteria; Legionellales; Coxiellaceae.
AGAGUUUGAUCAUGGCUCAGAUUGAACGCUGGCGGCAUGCCUAACACAUGCAAGUCGAACGGCAGCACAGUGCGUAGCAAUACGUAUGGGUGGCGAGUGGCGGACGGGUGAGGAAUGCAUCGGAAUCUACCCAGUAGCGGGGGAUAACCUGGGGAAACUCAGGCUAAUGCCGCAUACGACCUAAGGGUGAAAGCGGGGGACCGUAAGGCCUCGCACUAUUGGAUGAGCCGAUGCCGGAUUAGCUAGUUGGUAGGGUAACGGCCUACCAAGGCGACGAUCCGUAGCUGGUCUGAGAGGACGAUCAGCCACACCGGAACUGAGACACGGUCCGGACUCCUACGGGAGGCAGCAGUGGGGAAUAUUGGACAAUGGGGGAAACCCUGAUCCAGCAAUGCCGCGUGUGUGAAGAAGGCCUGCGGGUUGUAAAGCACUUUCGGAGGGGACAAAAAGCGUCGGGCUAACACCCAGGCGUCUUGAUUUAACCCUAUAAGAAGCUC